RNAcentral lists this ribosomal RNA (468 nucleotides) under uncultured bacterium. RNAcentral's name for it is "partial 16S ribosomal RNA". It matches the Rfam family "Bacterial small subunit ribosomal RNA", at positions 28 to 507 of the family's 1533-position model. The record is from RNAcentral.
GACGAACGCUGGCGGCGUGCUUAACACAUGCAAGUCGAACGGAAAGGCCCUGCUUUUGUGGGGUGCUCGAGUGGCGAACGGGUGAGUAACACGUGAGUAACCUGCCCUUGACUUUGGGAUAACUUCAGGAAACUGGAGCUAAUACCUGAUAGGAGCUCCUGCUGCAUGGUGGGGUUUGGAAAGUUUCGGCGGUUGGGGAUGGACUCGCGGCUUAUCAGCUUGUUGGUGGGGUAGUGGCUUACCAAGGCUUUGACGGGUAGCCGGCCUGAGAGGGUGACCGGCCACAUUGGGACUGAGAUACGGCCCAGACUCCUACGGGAGGCAGCAGUGGGGAAUAUUGCACAAUGGGCGGAAGCCUGAUGCAGCAACGCCGCGUGCGGGAUGACGGCCUUCGGGUUGUAAACCGCUUUCGCCUGUGACGAAGCGUGAGUGACGGUAAUGGGUAGAGAAGCACCGGCUAACUACGUG